GGGGAAGGAUCUCCUCUGGAGAUCUGCUCUGCUGGGGUUUCACAAGUGAGCACAGGAUAUGGAUGAGGAGAAGCAAUGAGAAAACAAACAGUACUGCAGAGGUCUUUAGGCGUUAGAGGCAGAGUGAAUGGAACUGCUUUUUAUAAAGUGAUAUGACAGUGUGUAAUGGCAGGAAUAGCACUGCAGCACCUCAUGGAGCACCUCUGCUGACAGACUCACCAGUUUUGUUACGAAGCACGCUCUCUCCUUGUGGCAGCAGCUACAUGAGGACUAUGAGAAAACAGGCUUACAUAAGAAAAGGACAUACUUCCAACAAAUCUCUAUGAACUGGGACACAAGG
Phasianus colchicus (ring-necked pheasant) is the source of this 340-nucleotide long non-coding RNA. RefSeq lists it as uncharacterized. The record is from RefSeq and is a predicted model, not a curated record. NCBI's taxonomy places the organism in Eukaryota, Metazoa, Chordata, Aves, Galliformes, Phasianidae.